RNA transcript from Salvia splendens (bonfire salvia), 1370 nucleotides. RefSeq lists it as uncharacterized. The record is from RefSeq and is a predicted model, not a curated record. NCBI's taxonomy places the organism in Eukaryota, Viridiplantae, Streptophyta, Magnoliopsida, Lamiales, Lamiaceae. The transcript has 3 exons.
UUAUGAAUAUGGCGGAAAUAUUUCUCUCUUUCAAAUAUGCGCAUGAAGAGUAAGCUCAUAGCUUCGCUCUGAAUUCAGAUUUCAUCUUCAUUUCUGGGAUUCUGCUUCGAUCAAUCAACGAGUUACCUCGGCUGCAGAAAAAGCUCUCAUCUUCAGUUCUGAUUAAUCAAGUGUUUUCUGAAAACAAGCGCGAAUCCAAAGCUCCGAAGUUCAAUUCCGGCGCCGUAUCACAAAUCAACUCGAUGAAUGCGGCCGGCAAUCGCGGCUCUAGGUCACCGUUCGAUCCCUACGCAUCAGACAGCUCCGAUUCCCCGUCUCCGCUGAUGAAGUUCCUGCGCUCUGUCGAUCCGCCACCGUCGUUCCUCACGCCGGUCAAGGAUGAGGAAGAUGUGAUUGUUAUGGAUGGGAUUUCCGUGCCUAAUUCCAACAAAGGAAGCGGUGAAGUGAGACUGAGGUUGCCUUUGAUGCCAUCAAACUCUCUCAACUGCAGAUUUGUGAGCCAUUACCGGGAAACUUCUCAUAUGUGCCAAUUUGGUUCCCAAUUUUGCACACGGCAAAGAGGAGCUGCGCCAUCAUCGGUUCUCAGGCAAGACCAAACUCAAGGUACAGAGCUAAAUCCAAAUGAAUCUUUGCUGAGUAAUUAAGUAAUCUUGAGUGAUUGUAGAGCCAUUGCAUAUGGUUUCUUGUAUGUUUUGGUCUGUUCUUGCAUUUCCCUCUAGGAUAGAUCUCCAAACCAAACAGCAGUUUUGUGGGAUCAAGCGAUUCAAGCCCAUCUCCAUGUGGCUCUGAGUUCAACCGAAACAGCCAAGUCAAGGCUGCCGCAGCAGAAGAGGCAUUCUCAAUGCCACCACUAUCACCAGUCCCAGCUGAAGAAGUUUCUGGAACUAGCACGGUCCCGGACACUACUAUAUAUGCUCGUCUCGGAUUGGACUCCUCGGACUGAUGGGAUCGAGGUCUGUUUGCCUUGUGUGGACAAGAGUUCAUCAGAGGAAGAUGUGGGUGCUUAUAUGGAGAAUGUGCUGUAUGGGGCCAAGGUGAAGAGGAGGCUGCCUGUGUUUGUUGGGAUUUGCUCUGACUCUUAGUUGAUUCAUGCCAUUUUGUGGUGAUAGGAUUUACUGAUUUGAUUUUGGUGAUCUGAUCGUAUUGGCCGACAUUGGGAAAUUUUGAGAAAUAAUCAGAUUCAUGAGUCAUGACCGAAGAGGGUGACAAUAAUUUCGGCCAAAAUUGACUAUUUUUGAUGAUCUAGAAAUGUCUGCAAUAGAGUAAACGCGGUCGAUUUAGUGUCGGAUGAAGAUUAUUUGUAUUAGGUGUUGAUGCAAUGUUGUUGUACAAAGUGAAUAAUAGUAUUUGAUUUCCAUUAUUAUUUUGCA